GUGACACCGUUUCUAUGUUGUUUCUGAUUAAUCUUGCCCAUUGACAGUCUUUGUUAAACAACAAGGCGUGCCCUUCCCCAACGAGGCGACAUUUUCAUAUUUGUUAGACGCAGUGACCUGAAGCUCACCCCGGACUUGGACUUCGGUUUUCCAGGGUCUACUCGACUCUGGGUAGAUUACGGAGCACUUAGCACCAGUCAGCACCUAACAGCGCCCCAAAAAUAUAUUUUUUAAAACCAGUACAAAACCCACGAUAAAGCGUAGGUCCAUCUGAAAAAGCCUUGCGUCGACUGUGCCACUCCUGUAGGUAAUGUUAGCCAACUAAACUGAAGUUUCGGUGUCUCCUGGUCAAUGUUUUCUUUAGAAUAGUAUAAAUAUGUAUAUGUGUUGAAUUUGUUUCACAUUGUUAGGCUUCUGUUAAUGUUUCUCACCUAGGCUCAUGUUUUUCCUGUUCAAACAAGGUCCUCCUCGGAGCUUUGUAUGUGUAAGCCAUCGCUAUGGGAUUUUCAUUUUAGUCAGAUAUAGGCCUAUAUGGCCUUUUAAGCAUCUAAAUAGCCAAAGUUGUUAGGUGUUAUAUUACAAUUGAGUGUAUUUUACACCUGUAACUCAUCGUGAAUGACAAGGGGAAUCUUUUUUGUUGUUGAGGAUCUGGCCUCCAGAACGCAUGUAACCAAGACCACCUGAGGGUCUAUCUAUCAGCAUAAUGUCCACGAUCCCUUGUCUGUUAGGAGGACCAGGCUGCAGAGGACAAUGUUCCCUCAGUAUUCACGAGGCGGUUAAGCAGAAGGAGAGAAAGACUACAUAUUUUAAAGGAGUCCGGGGGCUCCAUUUGGGGGGCUGUGGGCAUAGUCUACCCAUCAUCCUGUGACCGGGCAGCUGGCUGCAGGUGACACUGAACUUGGCCUAAAGCGAGCUCUGCUGGUGGCUGGAGGAUGCAGAUUUAUCUUGCUGCUAUGGCUGACCUCGCGGUGAACCGCGCACGGGGGAUGGUUAAUUUUUUUCUGCCUGGCAUUGUCUGCCUAGGACCCCGAUUUAAGAUGAUUUUAUGUGUAACAACGGUGUAAUUUUCGCCCCAGACUUCACAAUGAUAUUGGCAUAGAAUAACGGUUUCUCUUUCAUGUUCUACACCAUACAACUGUAAUGGAAAUGAAGUCCAAUUUCAUUGCAUUGGCUAUUUGUUUACAAGACGGAAUCUUCUAUGUCGACUGUUAGGGGAAGGGGGAGCGGGGAUCAACCCACCUCAAAUCAUCAGAUGAUUCAGAGUUUCAAUUCCAUCUACGUACUGACAUAUUAUACUUUGAGGGUUUAGUUUCUAUAUAAACACUUUUCAUUGCAAUUCGUUUUCUGAUGUGAAAUAGAUGAAAAUUGAAUUCACACCUCUGACGGGGAAAGUUAUGAGGUGCCUGUAAGCACCAGUUUCGUUCUAAUUGGGCGUAAUUGCAAUCUGUUCAAAUACAUAAGAGCAACACACAACAAUGGAAAUUUUGAACACACCAAAGCACUCUUAUACACAACACAUAGACCGAGCCCAUACUAGUCACUCAUCAGCACACAGCUUAUCGCAAGACUGUCGCCACAAGUAGGCCUAAACAAAAUCUACACUAUAAGCAAAACAACAAAUGAAUUAGCCUAUAACCUACUUAAUAAGAAAUGAUGAUGCAGAAACAUUUUUCUAGAAAACGAAAACAUAAUUCAAUCUAAAGGAAACUAUUGUGAUUGGGCAAAUGCGUCACAAAGUCAGACCAACACAUUUUCACAUCGAAGUCAAAGCUUUAUUGGUAUCUGAGUGUUCAUGUCUGCCCGGACGCACGCGCCCAAGCUGGGCCAUGAGGUCACCAUGAAGCAAGAGUGACACUCUCCAACUGAACUUUACAACCCAAAAACACAAAAUGACAUGGCUGACGCAAAACGGAAUUCCUUUGCAAGUGUGGCCCUGCUGUGUUUUGUCCUCCAUUGUGUUUACUCCACAGUGCGUUUGGCUGUCUUAAACCAUUUGAUCAAGUUUGGAACACAUGAGGAAACCUGACCAAAGACACACCUAGAGCUUCAAACAAAGUGUAGAACCUGUGCCUAACUUGACAAUUACACAGAUUGAAAAGCUAAAUUUACCCCAAAAGUGGUUGUAUGAUAGUUGAGUACCGUACACAAACAUAUUACAGUUUAGCAAUGACAUUGGAAACACCAUAAAACAGCUCAAAUAGCUUUAUGGCUUGUCCAGCACAUUAAUGGCUAUGAAGAGUCCAAAGAAGCCCCGUGUGUAAUACAGGAAGUGAAAAAACACGAAUUAAAAAGGAAAAGGAAUGGACAGAAGCAUAAUUAUCCCACAUGU
This is a long non-coding RNA of Oncorhynchus tshawytscha (Chinook salmon), 2329 nucleotides long. RefSeq lists it as uncharacterized. The record is from RefSeq and is a predicted model, not a curated record. The transcript has 4 exons. NCBI's taxonomy places the organism in Eukaryota, Metazoa, Chordata, Actinopteri, Salmoniformes, Salmonidae.